ACCGGGCUUGGUAACGCUUGCCUAUAACUCAAGUGAGGGUAUUAAAGAUUGUUGGUCUCACUGUUACAUAAUCCGGCUUGCCCGUUCCAAGUUGUGAGUUGGACCAUGUGGCUUGGGCGAAAGCUUGGGCCACAUGGUUCCUAAAGCAGGGGGCACUGCGUAAGGCUGGUUUCACAGAGCUGCGAAAACCCCUCGCUCAUGACAGUGGAAGGAUAACAGGCCGGGGCUCCAUGGGUCCAUAAUAUCUACCGGGUUGUCUCAAAUGAACAACCAUCUUU
Molecule: signal recognition particle RNA, 278 nt
Filed under: Helianthus annuus (common sunflower)
Lineage: Eukaryota; Viridiplantae; Streptophyta; Magnoliopsida; Asterales; Asteraceae
Description: Metazoan signal recognition particle RNA
Rfam family: Plant signal recognition particle RNA
Source: RNAcentral